Pectinophora gossypiella (pink bollworm) is the source of this 827-nucleotide long non-coding RNA. RefSeq lists it as uncharacterized. NCBI's taxonomy places the organism in Eukaryota, Metazoa, Arthropoda, Insecta, Lepidoptera, Gelechiidae. The transcript is spliced from 6 exons. The record is from RefSeq and is a predicted model, not a curated record.
AGUUCAUGAUUGCAAUAGAAUAAAAUCGACCAAGCCUGAAGUCAGCAGCCCCUUCAAUGAAUGCAGCAGUGUGACAGCCAACAAUCAAAAGUUACAAGAAGAUAUCGAGGAAAUGCAGAAGGCAAAAAACUGCGUAGGAGAUCAUUAAUACAAAAGUAUUAUAUAAACCAAACCUGAUGUUGCCAGCUCCUUCAAUGAAUGCAGCAGUGUGACAGCCAGCAAUCAAAAGUAACAAGAUAUCGAGGAAAUGCAGAAGGCAAAAAACUGCAUAGGAGAUCAUUAAUACAAUAGUAUUAUGUAAACCAAGCCUGAUGUUGGCCGCUCAUUCAAAGAAUGCAGCAGUGUGACAGCCAGCAAUCAAAAGUAACAAGAUGUCGAGGAAAUGCAGAGUGUAAUAAACUGUGUAGAAGAUUAUGAUUGCAAUAGAAUAAAAUCGACCAAGCCUGAAGUCCUUCAAUGCACGCAGCAGUGUGACAGCCAGCAAUCAAAAGUUACAAGAUAUCGAGGAAAUGCAGAAGGCAAAGAACUGCGUAGGAGAUUAUUAAUACAAUAGUAUUAUAUCAACCAAGCCUGAUGUCGGUAGCUUCUUCAAUGAAUGCAGCAGUGUGACAGCCAGCAAUCAAUAGUGACAAGAAUUUAGGAAAUACAGAAGGCAAAGAAGCAGAUGUCAUCAAAGAAGAUCUUUGUUCCUGCAAUGUUUUCGCAGACGAUACAUCCAACAGAGCGAAGUGGAAGGAAAAGACUCGGAAAAAAGACCCCACCACCAUAUGGGAACAAUGCAAGGGAGAGAGAGAGAAUAUAAUGUUAUAUUUUUAUUUUUUGAUAAC